ACUCCUCCACCCUCUCCUUUUUCGAAAGGUGUUGGGCUGGGAUUUGGGAGCUUGCAGGUCCCUGGCCGAUCUGCUCUCCUUGAAUACAUUAGCGAAGCCCUUGCGGCCUUGGUGUGAUAGUCAUCUACGCCUCGGCUUAGCGAACUUAUGGGAGUCGCUUCUAAUCGUCUCGCAAGAGACAACUUUUACCA
This 191-nucleotide unclassified non-coding RNA is filed under the name uncultured Peniophora. Its description in RNAcentral is "sequence contains ITS2". The record is from RNAcentral. Lineage: Eukaryota; Fungi; Basidiomycota; Agaricomycetes; Russulales; Lachnocladiaceae.